CCUACGGGAGGCAGCAGUGGGGGAUAUUGCACAAUGGGGGAAACCCUGAUGCAGCAACGCCGCGUGUGGGAAGAAGGUUUUCGGAUUGUAAACCACUGUUCUUGGUGACGCUAAUGACGGUAACCAAGGAGAAAGCUCCGGCUAACUAAGUGCCAGCAGCCGCGGUAAUACGUAGGGAGCAAGCGUUGUCCGGAUUUACUGGGGGUAAAGGGUGCGGAGGCGGGCUUGUAAGUCAGACGUGAAAACCACAGGCUCAACCGGUGGACUGCGUUUGAAACUGUGGGGCUUGAGUGAAGUAGAGGGAGGCGGAAUUCCCGGUGUAGCAGUGAAAUGCGUAGAGAUCGGGAGGAACACCAGUGGCGAAGGCGGCCUACUGGGCUUUAACUGACGCUGAGGCACGAAGGCAUGGGGAGCAAACAGGAUUAGAUACCCCGGUAGUC
Molecule: ribosomal RNA, 440 nt
Filed under: uncultured bacterium
Lineage: Bacteria
Description: partial 16S ribosomal RNA
Rfam family: Bacterial small subunit ribosomal RNA
Source: RNAcentral